CGCGUUGCUGCCCUUGUGUGUGAGGUCUUCUUUAGAAACCCAUUGGACACGUUCGGGGAAACACGCCCGUACGGUAUGCUGGGCUGGCGAUGGAUGCACAGAGUCCCAGAGGAGCUAUCUGCUCAUCAGGAAGGAAAAUCGGUGCUUUGCAUGCCUCGUGCAGAGCAACUUGGUGCCUCACUGCUAGGAUCCCACUGGCAGAAAUGGCUCUGCAGGUCACUCUGACAAGGUUGGUCCUGCUUCCCAUCACGUAGCACUUGGUAUGAAAACUUGUGACUUCCCUCUACCUCCAAGACCAUCCUGUUCAGCUCCAGAAAGCAAAGGCAAGGGACUGAAUGAAGUUUGUUUGUGUUUCCUUUUUUUUUUUUUUUUGUGCUUCCCUCCAGUAACUGGGGGAAACAUAUCACUGAAUUCCUGUUUUUAACGUUCUUUUGGCACGAUUCAAAACUAACCUACUGUGCCG
Molecule: long non-coding RNA, 463 nt
Filed under: Chrysolophus pictus (golden pheasant)
Lineage: Eukaryota; Metazoa; Chordata; Aves; Galliformes; Phasianidae
Description: lncRNA (ENSCPIG00010002724.1)
Source: RNAcentral